Molecule: ribosomal RNA, 450 nt
Filed under: uncultured cyanobacterium
Lineage: Bacteria; Bacillati; Cyanobacteriota
Description: bacterial SSU rRNA
Rfam family: Bacterial small subunit ribosomal RNA
Source: RNAcentral
GAUGAACGCUGGCGGUAUGCUUAACACAUGCAAGUCGAACGGUACCUUCGGGUAUAGUGGCGGACGGGUGAGUAACGCGUGAGAAUCUGUCUUCAGGUCGGGGACAACAGUUAGAAAUGACUGCUAAUACCGGAUAUGCCUAUGGGUGAAAGAUUUAUUGCCUGAAAAAGAGCUCGCGUCAGAUUAGCUAGUAGGUGGUGUAAGAGACUACCUAGGCGACGAUCUGUAGCUGGUCCGAGAGGACGAUCAGCCACACUGGAACUGAGACACGGUCCAGACUCCUACGGGAGGCAGCAGUGGGGAAUUUUUCCGCAAUGGGCGAAAGCCUGACGGAGCAAUACCGCGUGAGGGACGAAGGCUUUUGGGUCGUAAACCUCUUUUCUCAAGGAAGAUAAUGACGGUACUUGAGGAAUAAGCAUCGGCUAACUCUGUGCCAGCAGCCGCGGUAAU